UUGCCUACGGGACGCAGCAGUGGGGAAUAUUGGGCAAUGGACGCAAGCCUGACCCAGCAACGCCGCGUGUAGGAAGAAGGCUUUCGGGUUGUAAACUUCUUUUCUCAGGGACGAAGCAAAUGACGGUACCUGAGGAAUAAGCCACGGCUAACUACGUGCCAGCAGCCGCGGUAAUACGUAGGUGGCAAGCGUUAUCCGGAUUUACUGGGUGUAGAGGGCGUGUAGGCGGGGACGCAAGUCAGAUGUGAAAACCACGGGCUCAACCUGUGGCCUGCAUUUGAAACUGUGCUUCUUGGGUACUGGAG
This 305-nucleotide ribosomal RNA is filed under the name uncultured bacterium. RNAcentral's name for it is "bacterial SSU rRNA". It matches the Rfam family "Bacterial small subunit ribosomal RNA", at positions 335 to 654 of the family's 1533-position model. The record is from RNAcentral.